CAGUAGCCGCGGGAAAACGAAGGGGGCUAGCGUUGUUCGGAUUUACUGGGCGUAAAGCGCACGUAGGCGGACUUUUAAGUCAGGGGUGAAAUCCCGGGGCUCAACCCCGGAACUGCCUUUGAUACUGGAAGUCUUGAGUAUGGUAGAGGUGAGUGGAAUUCCGAGUGUAGAGGUGAAAUUCGUAGAUAUUCGGAGGAACACCAGUGGCGAAGGCGGCUCACUGGACCAUUACUGACGCUGAGGUGCGAAAGCGUGGGGAGCAAACAGGAUUAGAUACCCCGGUAGUCCCUGUCUCUUAUAA
Molecule: ribosomal RNA, 301 nt
Filed under: uncultured bacterium
Lineage: Bacteria
Description: partial 16S ribosomal RNA
Rfam family: Bacterial small subunit ribosomal RNA
Source: RNAcentral